RNAcentral lists this long non-coding RNA (1182 nucleotides) under Ornithorhynchus anatinus (platypus). RNAcentral describes it as "lncRNA (ENSOANG00000049173.1)". The record is from RNAcentral. Lineage: Eukaryota; Metazoa; Chordata; Mammalia; Monotremata; Ornithorhynchidae.
UCUGGUACCCUCAGGAUCGUGACCCAUUUGGGGUCAUGACACCAGGUUUCCCUCUGAUCAAACUCCUUAGGAAGGAAGAUGAAGAGGAUGUUAUUUCCAAGAUUUGCCCAGCAAAGGUCAAGAGGAAGCCGGGUGAAUGCAGGCUCAGUGGAACAAAGAGGACUCCUUGACCUCUUCUUCUUCCCAAACCUCUUGCAGUGGGGCAGGCAACCUGCCUCCUUUUGGUGUCUCUUCUGAUAGGAAGAUUGAUGAACUGCAGGUGGGAAAAGGAUCAAAGAGGACAGCCAGCAGCCCCUGGGGCUUCCCCUUUAGGAAAGAGAACAGCAAAGCAGGCUCUGUCAGAGAGUCUUGGAAUCUUGGAUGGAACUUUGGAGAGGAGAGAGAGACUCCCACAUCCCCGAGGUCAAGUGACAUGGAAGAGAGCUCCUCCCAGAGGUCGCUAUUGCCUGCUUGGCCUCCUCUUCCUGUGGAUGCUCCUGUAGUAUGACAGAUAUCCUGGUUCCCUCUGAUAUCUCCCCUGAUGAGGAAAGGACAAAACAACUGAAGAUGAAGACAGGAUCAGGGAGGAUGACUUUGAACUGCCACCUGAGUUUCAACUUCACAAAAUGCCCUUGAAGCAGCAGAAGGAUCUUCUUCUCCAGAGAAUACGCAAACCUCAGAUUCUGCUCUCGCCCGAAGUUGGGGACCGAGAGAAGGGAGAGAUGGGCUGGUCCCUGAAGCCCAGUCAGAUAUGUGGGAGUCCAGGAUGGCCAGAAGCCAGUCUCUAUGACCCGAUCACCCUCCUGGAGACCAACAUCAGGCAGAAAUAUCAGGCCUUCCUUCUGGGCCUGCAUGACAUCAAAUAGACUCAUCCGUGUCAGUGGCAGGGGAAGGAAGAACCAACCCGGCCUCAUUCCCAAUUCAACUUGAAAGCCUGGCACAGAGGGCAUAUUGAACAUGGUGUGAGCUCUGGCCGUGGAUCUGUCCUCUGGUGGUUCCCGGGGUACUGAUCCCCGAGCCCAAAAUUACCUCCCUGCCAUGGUGGCAUUGGCUGGAAACUGGUGUCCUUAAGGCUCCUGACAUCUCUCAGUGAAUACCUAAAAUGAAGUCCCCUUAUGGUUUGUUUUAUCUUACUUUCUCAAUGAAAUGGCAGAAGGAUAAGGAUCAUCGGCUUUCCUCCCUUCAGCCCCCCUCUUCUGCCAC